GCGACACUAGCUCAGUUGGUCGAGCGCAACCUUGCCAAGGUUGAGGUCACGAGUUCGAACCUCGUGUGUCGCUCCA
RNAcentral lists this transfer RNA (76 nucleotides) under Vibrio cholerae. Its description in RNAcentral is "tRNA-Gly". It matches the Rfam family "tRNA". Rfam says of the family: Transfer RNA (tRNA) molecules are approximately 80 nucleotides in length. Their secondary structure includes four short double-helical elements and three loops (D, anti-codon, and T loops). Further hydrogen bonds mediate the characteristic L-shaped molecular structure. tRNAs have two regions of fundamental functional importance: the anti-codon, which is responsible for specific mRNA codon recognition, and the 3' end, to which the tRNAs corresponding amino acid is attached (by aminoacyl-tRNA synthetases). tRNAs cope with the degeneracy of the genetic code in two manners: having more than one tRNA (with a specific anti-codon) for a particular amino acid; and 'wobble' base-pairing, i.e. permitting non-standard base-pairing at the 3rd anti-codon position. The record is from RNAcentral. Lineage: Bacteria; Pseudomonadati; Pseudomonadota; Gammaproteobacteria; Vibrionales; Vibrionaceae. RNAcentral also lists the same sequence under 3 other names.